RNAcentral lists this ribosomal RNA (504 nucleotides) under uncultured bacterium. RNAcentral's name for it is "partial 16S ribosomal RNA". It matches the Rfam family "Bacterial small subunit ribosomal RNA", at positions 30 to 523 of the family's 1533-position model. The record is from RNAcentral.
AUUGAACGCUGGCGGCAGGCUUAACACAUGCAAGUCGAGCGGGAAUAGGUAGCUUGCUACUGAAUUCUAGCGGCGGACGGGUGAGUAAAGCUUAGGAAUCUGCCAUUUAGUGGGGGACAACAUUCCGAAAGGGAUGCUAAUACCGCAUACGUCCUACGGGAGAAAGCAGGGGAUCACUUGUGACCUUGCGCUAAAUGAUGAGCCUAAGUCGGAUGAGCUAGUUGGUGGGGUAAAGGGCUACCAAGGCGACGAUCUGUAGCGGGUCUGAGAGGAUGAACCGCCACACUGGGACUGAGACACGGCCCAGACUCCGACGGGAGGCAGCAGUGGGGAAUAUUGGACAAUGGGGGGAACCCUGAUCCAGCCAUGCCGCGUGUGUGAAGAAGGCCUUUUGGUUGUAAAGCACUUUAAGCGAGGAGGAGGCUACCUGGAUUAAUACUCUAGGAUAGUGGACGUUACUCGCAGAAUAAGCACCGGCUAACUCUGUGCCAGCCGCCGCGGUAA